RNAcentral lists this long non-coding RNA (44553 nucleotides) under Setaria italica (foxtail millet). RNAcentral describes it as "long non-coding RNA (SITA_LNC003990)". The record is from RNAcentral. Lineage: Eukaryota; Viridiplantae; Streptophyta; Magnoliopsida; Poales; Poaceae.
GUGCCAGUCUAACAAAAACCAACUCCCGCUCCCUCCGCAUUUGAUUGCAGAAGCAGAUCGUCCUCCUCUUGCUGCGUUAGUAAGGUACAUAAUAAUACAAGUAUUGCUAACUUGAUGAAGGAAUCAUGUAUACCUUUAGGAGGCACGAGAAAUAUGUCACACCACGCCGCGCGUCCGUGUACCCGCGUAUCCUCGGUCUCGUGCUCGUGCUGCUCCGCGCGGCUGCGCAGCCCCCGCCGGCGGGCGAGGCGCGGCUGCUGCUCGAGAUCAAGCGCGCGUGGGGCGACCCGACCGUGCUCGCGGGGUGGAACGGCACGGCCGCGGCCGCGCUCUGCAGCUGGCCGCACGUCGGGUGCGACGCGUCCGGGCGCGUCGUGAACCUCACCCUCGCGAACGCUCACGUCGCGGGGCCCUUCCCUGACGCCGUCGGCAACCUCUCCGGCCUCACGUACCUCGACGUCUCCAACAACAGCAUCAGGUCCGUGUUCCCGAGCGCGCUGUACCGCUGCGCUUCGCUUCAGUACCUCAACCUCUCCCAGAACUAAUUCGGCGGUGUGCUCCCGGCAGAAAUCGGCAGCGGCCUCGCCGCGAGCUUGACCACGCUGGACCUCGACGGCAACGAGUUCAACGGCACCAUCCCGGCGUCGCUCUCCCGGCUCCGGAACCUCGAGUAUCUCGCGCUGAACAGCAACCGCUUCACCGGUAUCAUCCCAGCGGAGCUCGGCGAGCUCGCGAGCCUGCAGGUGCUGUAUCUGGAUAACAACCCGUUCAACGCAGGCCAGCUGCCGGCGUCGUUCAAGAAUCUGACCAACCUGGUCAGCCUCACGGCGUCGCAGUGCAAUCUCGUCGGGGACUUCCCGAACUUUCUUUGGAGCCUGAAGAAGCUGCAACAAUUGUAUCUGUACACGAACAACAUCACCGGCGACAUGGUCGUUGAUGGAUUUGCGGCGAGAAGCUUGACAGAAAUCGACGUCUCAGAAAACAAAAUUAGUGGAGUCAUCCCUGAAGUGUUUGGGGGAUUGGAGAACCUCACACUCUUGAACCUCUUCAUGAACAACUUCUCCGGCGAGGUACCAGCCAGCAUCGGCCAGUUGCCGUUACUGAGGAUAUUGAGACUCCACACCAACAGGCUCAACGGCACGCUCCCACCGGAGCUCGGAAAGCAGUCGCCGGGUUUGUAUUAUGUUGAGGUUGACUACAAUGAGUUCACCGGCGUGAUCCCGGAAGGGCUGUGCACCGGAGGCAACUUACAGUACCUCACCGCCAAGAGCAACCGAUUGAACGGCUCCAUCCCGGCAGGCCUUGCCAACUGCACCACUCUGGAAACCCUGUCGCUGGACAAUAACCAGCUCUCCAGCGACGUGCCAGAGGCUCUCUGGACGGCAACGCAGCUUUACUUCGUGACACUACAGGGUAACCAGCUCACCGGAAGUCUUCCUGCGACGAUUCUUCUCAACAUUUCGACGUUACGCAUUGGGAACAACCAAUUCAGUGGCAACAUUCCGGCUGCAGUAGCUGCUCUCCAGGUGUUCACCGCCGAGAACAACCGGUUUUCUGGUGCGAUACCGGCGAGUCUUGGCGACGGCAUGCCGCUGCUGCAAAGACUCAGCUUGUCCGGGAACCAACUGUCCGGCGGGAUCCCGAGAAGCGUUGCUAAGCUAAGCCAGCUGACGCAAAUGGACCUGAGCAGGAAUCAGCUCACCGGCGGCAUACCGGCAGAGCUCGGCGCCAUGCCGGUGUUAAGUGUCCUUGACCUGUCGUCGAACAAGCUCUCCGGCAACGUACCGCAGGCGCUUGCGAAGCCACAACUCACCUCCCUGAACCUGUCCUCGAACCAGCUGAGCGGUCAGGUCCCGGCCGGGUUCGCCACAGCGGUCUACGACACCAGCUUCCUCGACAACCCCGGCCUCUGCACCGCCGCUGCGGGAUCCGGCUACCUCACUGGCGUCCGCUCCUGCGCCGGCGGAUCACAAGACGGCGGUUCCUCCGGAGGCGUCUCGCACGCGCUCCGCACAGGCCUCCUCGUCGCCGGCGCCUCGCUCCUCCUCAUCGCCUCGGCGUUUGCCUUCUUCGUCGUCCGCGACGUCAAGAAACGGCGGCGCGUCGCGGAGCAAGACGACUGGAAGAUCACACCUUUCGUCAAAGAUCUGGGAUUCGGUGAGGCACCCAUACUCCGGGGCCUGACGGAGGAGAACCUCGUCGGGCGCGGGGGAUCGGGGCGCGUGUACCGCGUCGCCUACACUAACCGGCUUAACGGCAGAGCCGGCGCGGUGGCCGUGAAACAAAUACGGACCGCCGGGAAGCUCGACCAGAAGCUGGAACGCGAGUUCGCGUCGGAGGCUGGCAUCCUCGGCAGCCUCCGGCACAACAACAUCGUCAGGCUCUUGUGUUGCCUCUCCAACGCCGAGUCCAAGCUCCUCGUGUACGACUACAUGGACAACGGCGGCCUGGACAGGUGGCUCCACGGCGACGCCCUCGUCGCUGGCGGGCGCCCGAUGGCGAGGGCGCGGUCCGCGCGGCGCGAGCCGCUGGACUGGCCGGCGAGGCUCGGGGUGGCCGUCGGCGCCGCGCAGGGGCUGUGUUACAUGCACCACGAAUGCGAGCCACCCAUCGUUCACCGCGACGUCAAGGCGAGCAACAUCCUGCUGGACUCGGAGUUCCGGGCCAAGAUCGCCGACUUCGGGCUGGCCACGAUGCUGCUACAGGCCGGGGCGCCCGAGACGAUGUCCGCCGUCGCCGGAUCGUUCGGCUACAUGGCUCCUGGUAAGGAUCCGAACUUGCUAUUUACAGUAGAUUUCUGUCCCAUUUUUCCAGAUUCAGACAUUAAGUAACUAGGGAGCAUCUACUGUAGCUGUAGCAUAUGUCACGAGUUAUCGUAUUGCCGGACCUUCGAUUUGGCGUUUGAUGCUUAUCUGCAGAGUGUGCUUACACCAAGAAGGUGAGCGAGAAGGUUGACGUCUACAGCUUUGGCGUCGUCCUCCUGGAGCUCACCACCGGCAAGGAGGCCAACUACGGCGGCGAGCACGGCAGCCUGGCGGAAUGGGCACGACACCACUACCAGUCAGGAGGGAGCAUCCCCGACGCCACAGACAAGAGCAUCAGAUACGCAGGGUACUCCGACGACAUCGAGGUUGUUUUCAGGCUAGGCGUGCUCUGCACCGCAGAGAUGCCAUCGUCGCGGCCAACCAUGAACGACGUGCUGCAGAUCUUGGUCAAGUGCAGCGAGCGGACGCACCAGAAGGGCAAGACGGAGCGUGGCCCGGAGUAUGAGGCUGCCCCGCUACUUUCCAACGGCUCGGGGAUUGAGAUUGAAGAGAAGAUCGACUUCGACCGCAUUGUCUGAAGAAAGGAACCGACCACUGCACAGGCCAGUAAACAACCUUCGACAGCAUCAGAGAACGGCUGUAGUGAUACUUCAGUUAGCACAUUUUAGCAGAGUGCAGCGAGGGCUAUAGUUGUCACAAGACCUUGACCCUGCACUAGGUCGUUAGUACAGGCAUGUUAUAGAUCAGGGCUUGUGGCGAACCAAACCGUUUCUGUGUUUUGACACUGCAAACUUGUAUUAUUAAAUCACAAACACAUUAGACUAGUCAGACAGAAGAACCAGCAAAUGUGAUGAUUUCCUUUUGAAACAAAGGCAGAAGAUGGAGUUCUGCAUGUCUAUUCAAAAAUCAGUACGAUUGCAUGAAUUCAUCCACCUGUUUAUUGUAAAAGCACUGGUUGGUUGGGAUAUGGCAUCAUAAUACAAACUUGGAGUGAUAAGGAAAAUGAAGCUGGAAGGAAGGGCUACUGCCCCAAGAACUCCAUUGGAGCUAGUAGAGGAGGAGGAGGAGGAGGAGAAGGUAGGGAAAAGAAGAAGAAGAAAAGAUGAAGAGGUGGUGGAGAUGGGGAAGGAAGAAGCUAGCCCCCUAUAUUUGUACUUUGUCUCAGCCAUUGAGGGGGUGUUUGGAUAUUAGGUCCUAAACUUUAGACAUGUCACAUCGGAUGUUCGGAUGCUAAUUAGGAGAACUAAACAUGAGCUAAUUAUAAAACUACUUGCAGAAUCCCUGGGCUAAUUCGCGAGACAAAUCUAUUAAGGCUAAUUAAUCCAUCAUUAGUAAAUGGUUAUUGUAGCACCAUAUUGUCAAAUCAUGGACUAAUUAGGUUUAAUAGAUUCGUCUCACAAAUUAGACUUCAUCUGUGUAAUUAGUUUUAUAAUUAGACUAUGUUUAAUACUUCUAAUCAGUAUCCAAACAUCCGAGGUGACAGAUGUUAAAGUUUAUCACGUGGGAGCCAGCCCCUGAAUGUGCUAUAUUUCGAACUCAUUGACGCCAUGCGGUUUUUUUUUAUUUUUAACCUUUUUUAUUUUUAUUUUUAAAAAUAACCUCUGCCGAACUUUAUUUGCGGCAGAUGACCCUUUGCUCGCGCCAGACCGCCUGGCGCGGCAGGAAGCCUCUGCCGUGCCACAUGCAUUGGUGUGGCGGACCCCUGCCACGCUGGCGCGGCGACUUGCCGCACCAGGUGGGCACUGACGUGGGCGGGCGCUCGCCGCGCCAGCCCGCCUAGCACGGGCAGCGCCUCACCUAGACACGCACGCUGGCUCCUUCCUUCCUCCCUCCCUCCUUUCUUCUUCCUCCAGAACACCCGUGCCCUAGGGUAUGUUUUGGACUUGAGAGCAAGGGGGCAGCCUCAGUGGUGGAUACUCCGUCCCAAAGCAUACUCUUGUCAUAUAAGGACUGGUUCAUUGGGCGAGUCUUUCUUGUGAACCGUACAACCAUACAUGCCAAAAAAGUACAACCUUCGGAAGUACCUACCUAUGUGAGGCCUUGGUUCAAACCCCGCUAGCUGAACCUAGUCAACCAUCCCAAGGGGUCAAGGUGGGCAACGGGUAUACUGGAGCAGGACCUUCGCAUAGUCCCAGGUCCGGUCAGCACGGGUCGACUGUUGAGAGGGCCGGAGGCCCUGAUAAUUUAUUUAUGCAUGCCUUUCCUGGGAUAGUAUCAGCAGGCCCCUAUUUAGACCCCAGUAUAUCCGUGGAUGGACCUAAGGAAUGCCGUCCAGAGAUGGACACGGGCAGGUACAGAUCUCGUAGGCUAGUAAGUACUAUGUAUGGGCUAGCCGGACAUAUGGGGAAAGUGUACACCUCUGCGCAGAGUAUAAUCUAUUCGAAUAGCCGAGGCUUACGGUCACGAGCCUACUAAGUCAAAGCCCCCAUGAUUACUCUUUCAAGCUCUUUGGGUGGGAUUAGUGUGUUAAAAUUAUUGGAUGAAGGUCGAAUGACUGGAUUCCAGGACUAAAACGUGGGGAUUGGUACGGGAGGUAGUUUUCCCCUCUAUAACCAUCACUCUAAAAUAACAUGCUUUUAGAAGAGUAUUUUCAAUUCUCACCUUUUAAUUCACCUUGCAUAUGAGAGAUGCUUUAGGCUUAGGAUUAUACCUAUAAACCAUGUUCCUUAUCCACCUCCUAAAUUGCAUAUAAUUACUUGGUAAAUGUUGGGACUUGCUGAGUACCAACCAUAAGUAUACGCAACCUUACUUUCAUCAUGCAGGUGUAGAUCUCCAGAUCUCCAGGUGUUAUAAACCAUCUUGUUAGUGGAUAGGCACCACUUCGCUACAUUAAGGUGAAAAACUUUUCUUAUUAAAUUAGACACCUUUUCUUUCUUAAAUACUAAGUUGUGAUGAUAAUGGUAUUAGCCUACUAAUCCAGGGACUAAUACAUGUGAUCAGCGGGACUCCCAAAGAGAGGUCCCACAGGCUGUCUCCAGUGUGACCAGGAUAUAGAAGAGGUCAUUGGCAGCUAGGUAGCAGGCGGUGGUGUGCGGGUUAUGUGCGGGACGGCGGGACGCCACCGGCCGCGAUCCGUGGAAGACAACAGGUGGCCUCUGGAGGCAGUGGGGGAGUCACUUCGAGCUCCUCAGCAUGUCCAGGUUAGGGUGGCAAAGGAUGGUGGCAGCGGAUUUGGCGGCACGAGCUGCCGGAGAUGGUGGAGGAUGGCGGCGCAGGGGCGAGUAGAGGACGGGGUGCGAUGGUGAUUGAGGGUUGCGACUAGUGGUGGCAAGAGCCGUCGGAGCUACAGGAGGAAAUGCUCACGGGAGCAUAGGUUGCGCGCGCUCCUGGACCGCCAUCACCGAAGGCGACAUUAGUGAUUUUGUCGCCUUCAGUGAUAUAUAGACGCGACCCCCGAGAAUGGAAAAGGGUAUUUGGAGGGCUCCGGGAACCUAGCAGAGAACUUGCCGGAGUGCUUUUUUUUUUACUUGGUCCUAUGGAGUUGUUCUAAGCCAACAACUAUUACUCUAUUAGCAAUUUUAAGAUAACACUGAAAUAUGGUAGUCUCCUACUUUAUGUGCAGUGUCGUUGCGUCCAUAAGUGUGAGGUCUACUUUAUAGCGGACCUGAGCCUCAACCGCUCCGGCCCACGGGCACAAAAAAACUCUAAUUGCCGUGUUUGACGGAGCACUGUGGGAGUUCUGCUGGGCUGUCCCGUUUCUGGUGACCGUUAGAUUAGCGAACUGAUUCCGAACCCGUUGAUUAGCGAUGCGGUCAAGAGCAAAAAUCGAUUCCUCUAACUGCCAACAAACCAUAUUAUUCACUGGUAGUUUGAAUCCAAACUCCAAAGUCUUCCAGAGCACCAGCCAAGGUCGGCACGUACUACUAAUCAAAGGCAAUUCGAGAGCUUCGCAGCAAGCACCUCCUGCACGGUCUGCUGCCAAAGUGUGCACACCAAAUAAAAGUCUUCUUUUAGACCAGUAGUACCAAAUAAACGUCCAAAACCCACGCAGCAAACCGAACGGGGCUCGUGCCAGUCUAACAAAAACUGGGGACUCCCGCUCCCUCCGCAUUUGAUUGCAGAAGCAGAUCGUCCUCCUCUUGCUGCGUCCACCUCGCGCCGUGGCGGCCGUGCUGUGCAGGCGUGCACAACCAACGCCACGCCGCGCGUCCGUGUACCCACGUAUCCUCGGUCUCGUGCUCGUGCUGCUCCGCGCGGCUGCGCAGCCCCCGCCGGCGGGCGAGGCGCGGCUGCUGCUCGAGAUCAAGCGCGCGUGGGGCGACCCGCCCGUGCUCGCGGGGUGGAACGCCACGGCCGCGGCCGCGCCCUGCAGCUGGCCGCACGUCGGGUGCGACGCGUCCGGGCGCGUCGUGAACCUCACUCAUAUUUGGCAAUCAAAAUGCGAAAUACUUCUGGAUCAAAGACACCCUUUUCAUCAUUUAGAGACUUUGGCUUCGAUGUUGCUAUGAAUCUAUCCCUAUCCUCUUACGGAAUGGCAUGACAGUGAAUCGCAAUAUACCUGCUGAGGUGAGUUGUACCUUUUCCAGGUUCAUAGGAUAAAUGAAACUUACAGUAUCUGCAUAUUGCCUUCUCCUUGCCAUCAAUCACUUCGGUAUCAACAAAUUUCCAAACUUUAGCCCUCUUCCUAGAUGAUCGACUUGACUGGUCAGUUACCAAACUAUCACGGCUGUCUACCUCAAGCACAACUUCUUGUCCUAGAUCCAUAUCACCUAGAUGACACAAAUGCAGUUUCAAUAUAAGAUAACAAAAGGAAUCACAAUUGUUACAUAAUAAAAAUUAGAACUACUGAACAUAACAUUCAGAUUGCCAUCACUUUUUUACUAGGCAUAUUGCGACAUGGAGAAUAUAUCACCAGAAUAGAGAAUCACUAGUUUACUACUCCCUCCGUUCCAAAUUGUAGGUCGUUUUGGCUUUUCUAGAUUCAUAGAUACUAUUAUGCAUCUAGAUAUAGUGUAUGUCUAGAUGCAUAAUAAUAUCUAUAAAUCUAAAAGAGCUAAAACGACCUAUAAUUUGGAACGGAGGGAGUACAUCGCUACAAGCCCUAAACAUCCCAUACAUGCCACUCAAUCACACACGUAUUCCUGCAGGCAAGAAAAAUAGAACUGCUUUCAUGAUUCCAUGGAUCUCUGGGCAACGAUGAAAGAGACAAUAGUUUAGCAUCUUGGGUACACUAGUAUACUACACACACAUAUAUAUAUGCUGCAAAUAUUCAGAGUUCAUAGUUCAGACUACUUGGUUCUUAUAGGAUGUGGCUACUCUAAUGCAACAGAUAGUACCUGAACAAUUUGACGAGCCAAAACUUACAGUCAGAAACAAACCAAACUACCCAAUGAACCGGAGCAAUAGCCUUAGAAUGAAGUAUGGCUUUAAUGCACACUGUGGUAGAAAAUAAUGCAAGUCUAGGAUUGUCGAGAUUAAAGUAUCGUUACCUUGUUGAGAAUGUUGCUGGGGAAUUGCCUAACAGAGAGCACGUCGGCAAUGAUGGUGUGGACGAGGAUGGCACAGAUGACGCUCAAUCAACCGCUUUGUGGCUGCACUACAAUGCUUUGUGGCUGCACUACAAAGUAGAAGCAUCAAAAUGCUGUCAUAACAUGCUCUGUCACCAAAGCAUUCGAUAAUCUCAAGUGCUUUAAAAAUCUCAGAUGAAAUCUCGGAGGAACAUGUGCUACUGGCUCCAAGAACAGAAGAUGCAACACAUGACGAAAGCGACCAUAUAAUUUGUAUGCGUAUUACAACACCACAUCAACUCGUUCUUUUACCAAACACAAGAAUCAGACACAACAUGGAGAGUCAAGAAAGAUGCACUCACCAUAUUUCGGCAAACUGAAGACAAUUGUUGUUACGGGGAUUUCUUGGAGAUGAGCACCGCGCUGCCCCUUCGCAGCUCUAGAGGGGAUCUCCACCCCUUGUGGCGGAUCCACUUCGGAUUAACUUGAUUAAAAAAAGUUAAGUCGCCUAACAUGCGACACCCAUGCCUAAGCCAAGUUAACACGAAGUGCCGUCGGAUUUCAUCCGAUGAACCACGUGAACAGGAUCGAGUUAGCAAACUCACACGAAGAUGAGUGGUUCCAGAGAAUACAACAAGUCCACCGAGUGGAACAACUUAACCAUUUAGUUCGACCAGAAAAACAAUUCAUCAGAGUUUUACAAGGUUUCAAAAGAAAACAAUCGAAGGUAAACAGCAAGCGGAAGCUAAACGCAGGGGUCAGACGUCCUUGGUGAGGCCAGCCAAGACGUCAGUGAUCCCUUUCCUCGCCAUCCGAGGAGGGAUCCCACUCGACCGUCCAACCCGGAGGGAGCUGGGGCGGCCAAGUGCCAGCGGAAGAAGGCUCGGGAGCAGCGACUUCACCUGAAAAACAGGAGCCACAACAAGGCUGAGCUACUAAGCUCAAUAAGACUUAACCGACAGGGAGUAACUACUCCACCACUUCUAGACAUGCAAGGCUCUUUGGCUGAGGGGGGUUUGUUUGCCAAGAAGCACUAGGUAAAACCCUAUUUUUAAGUUUUAGCUCCGGUUCUAAGUUCAUUAUCCAGUCUAAGUUUUGCAACCUAUUCUAGGCAACCAUAGAACCAACCAAAGGUAUAUAUAUAUAUAACAUCAUAAAGACCAUGUCGUCAUUAUAUUUCUUUCUUACUCAGGGUAGCAUAGCGAUCAAGCAGUCUCAAACUGUGAGAGGCAGAUGAAUUGAUUCGAGUUCUUUAACCAUGCAUGGUGAACCUAACCUCACGACAUCCGCGCACCCGAAGGUCACUUCCUGUGUCGGCCUUCCCCAUCAAUCCCCUAACCCGUGUCGGGCCCAUUUCCUUUGGUGUAAGGUUCCACAGACCCGGCCUCUGCCGUUCUGUGACCACGCUUGCCACCACGUGCGACAACUAGCAGGGGAAACUCCGUUCCAAGAACAAUGGGGCGACCGCUCACGUCUAGGUUCAAUCCGGUACUAGGCUUCCUCAUCCCAUACUAAGUAUGAGGUUAGUACUUUCAAACACUUGAUCACGAACACCACCACUGUCAGGCCUUAGCAAGUUUCAUAGAUAGACGGGGCGAUCAACCGACCACCAAAGAGUUACCCAAAACCCUGCCCCGUCCAUCGUCCUUAUAGUUGUGACAGGAGGAAGACAACCCCUACCACUCGCGAGCAAUAGGAAAUCACUCGACUUUUACCGCAUCCUAUUUAAGCAAAGCAGCUACUCGAUCCAACAGCUAGUGUUUAGAUCAAGGGAUCUAAGUUAUACAUCUAUGGUUCCAAACAACUCCUAUACGUAAAUGCACAAACAAGAUGCAGAAGGAAUGCGCAAGUCUGGAAAACAUAGGGAUUUCAUGCAUCCGGGGCUUGCCUUCAAGCGAGAAAAAUGGAAGCUGCUCUUCUGCUCGAGCGGCUUCGGCUUCUGAGGGCAGGAGCUCGGCUACACCAUCAUCUUCUGCCGCCGGGUACAGCUCGUAGUAGCCGUCGGCCAGACACAGCUCUACACGAAUGCAAUGCAAGAGUUAGCAUUUUAGACGGUUAUUUCAACAGCAACACUUGCAAGUAUGAGCCCAGAAACUUGCGACAAGUAACAGGAGGGUGGGAAGGUUAAAGGAGUUGGUGGAGAUCAAGAGGUAAGGGUCGGAGGAAAGGAACUUAUGAUCGGAUCCUUAGACUAGAGGAAUAGCUAUGCUAGGGGUCCUCAGACUCAACGCUGAAAGGUCCCCAAGUUUUUACACAUACACCCUCGGUUCGAAGAAAAAGGAUACAGCCGAGUCCUCGGGCGAGGCGGACAAGGGUCGGCGGAACAGACAGGGUCGGACGAGACGGAACCGGGGUCGGACGGAUACGAGGGGUCGAGCGAAGCGGACAAGGGUCGGCAGAACAGACAAGGUCGGGCGAGACGGAAAAAGGGGUCGGGCGGACGGAAGGGUCGGACGAGGCGGCCAAGGGGUCAGCAGCUUACCUUCGUCUUACAAGGAAAGCUUGGGGUCGGAAAGAGCAGGUUCGGGCGGAGGAACUGGAAUACUAAGGCUUGCGGCGGAGAUGCCCGGCGGUGCUCCGGCGGCGGCGGUGCUUCUUGUGGAUCACAAGUAAGCUCUUACGCAGCACGGAGGAGCAAGCGGCUGGGUGGAUUGGGGAAAACGGUGUCGAGCGGAGAGGAGAGUUCCUCAGGGACUUAGUGUGGUGGCGCUAGGAGCUCGAACAGGGAGCAAGAGAAAUGGCGGGAGGGUAGUGAUGGCGAAGGGGACUCCGGCGGGGCUCACGCAUUCCCUUUUAUAGCGGCGCGGGAGUGAGAAGGGGAGUGGCACGAAGGCCGGGGAAGAAGCAAUGGAGUGCUCUGCCCGGGCGGCGAUUGAGCGACGAGGGCGGUGGAGCAGGACUUCGGGGAUUACGCCGGCGGUCAUUGGGCUCUGGCGUCAGGGCGGCGCAGGCGCGGGUUUGCCGGUGGUUGAGAUUUGGCGGAGGCGGGUGUCGUCGUGAGGUGGAGCUGAUGGAAGUGACCGGGAUAGCGGCGCUAGGAACGAGGGCGCACAGGUGAGAAGAUAGGCGGCUGCGGGCGUGCGGGCGAGUGCGGAGCAACAGAUUGUCGGGCGGUUUCUGACAGGGUGGGAAAAAGGAGCUGUCGCUGCCGUGGUCGGGGUUGGCGGAGGAGGAAUCGUCGGGUAGCGAAGACCAGGCGGCGCGACUGUGGCGAGGUGACGGAAAAGACGGGCGACAUCGGGCUCUGCGGCCGGGAUCUGGCGAUGUGAUGAUGGGCGCGGGUGGCGAGGUGCUGCAGAAAGGUUGCAGAGGGGUUUCCGCUGCGAUUGGGGAAGGGGGCGCGAGAAUCCAUUCGGUCGCGGGCCGAAGACGAGGCAGAGCGGCGGGCGUCGGAGGAGUUGAGCCACGCGGCGAGGGAACUCUGAAGUGAGCAUGCAACUCGAGUGCGCCUGUCGCGGAAGAUCUGGGGGAAAAGAUCUCGUGGGUCCACCGGUCAGAUCGAAGGGAGGUGUUGGGGAAAACUUAGAAGAAUCCGGCGGGUGAGUUGGGGUCGGCGGGGUCGGAACUGGAGGCCAGCGUAGAGGGGUCGGGUCUCAGGGGUCGGGACCGGUCGGGAGGUUGAACACUUAGGCUUGGAAAACUAAGGCAGGUGGUCAGGGGCUCAGAUUAAGAUUAACUCAAGAGAUUUCAGGGUCAGUCGUCACAGCCUACCCCUCUUAAAAAGAAUCUCGUCCCGAGAUUCAGGUGUAAGAGUAGGGUGUACCGUUCUUACCUCCUUGACGAGAUAGAAAACCUGGGAAGUGCUUGUUCAGAUACUCGUCUGUUUCCCAUGUUGCUUCAUCCUCCAUGUGUUUCCUCCAGAGGAUCUUGUACAUUCUGACCAUUUGGCGCCGGGUAUGCCUCUCUUUCUGGUCAAGAACUCUGUCUGGGUACUCGGCGUAGGUUAGGUCGGGCUCUAUCUGAAGCUGCUCUUGCUCUAAGAUCUCGGUUGGGACUUGGACACAUUUCUUCAGUUGAGACACAUGGAAGACAUCGUGUAUGGCCGAUAGCUGUUCUGAGAGUUGGAUCCGGUAAGCAACGGGUCCACAGAUCUCCACAAUCUCAUAAGGGCCAAUGUAGCGGGGAUCCAACUUGCCUUUCACUCCAAACUGUUGCACUCCCUUGGUUGGGGAGACUUGAAGAUACACAUGAUCACCAAUGUCAAACUGUAGGGGCCUUCUUCGCCUGUCGGAAUAACUCUUUUGUCGAGAUUGGGGAGCCUUGAGAUUUGCUUGAAUUACCCUUACUUGCUCUUCGGCUUCUACCACUAAGUUAGGGCCAUAGAUCUGUCUUUCUCCAGUUUGUGACCAAUUCAAAGGUGUCCGACAUCUCCGGCCAUAUAAGGCUUCAAACGGUGCCAUCUUCAAACUGGCCUGGUAGCUAUUGUUGUAGGAGAAUUCUACCAAUGGCAGGCACUUGUCCCAGUUCUUGUCAUAGUGGAUGACACAAGCUCUUAACAUGUCUUCAAGGAUUUGAUUGACUCUUUCGGUUUGACCAUCGGUUUGAGGAUGAUAGGUUGAGCUACGGAUGAGUUUGGUGCCCAUGGAUGCUUGUAGCUGCUCCCAAAAGCGUGCCACAAACUGAAUUCCUCGAUCAGAGAUGAUGGUCUUAGGUACACCGUGUAGGGAAACUAUGCGGUCGAGGUACAACUUUGCAUACUGCUUGACUGUGUGGGUGGUGCGGACAGGAAGGAAGUGGGCAGACUUGGUCAGGCGGUCCACUAUAACCCAGAUGAAGUCAUAUCGCUAUGAUGUAAGGGGCAGUCCAACUAUGAAGUCCAUGCUGAUGUCUUCCCAUUUCCAAGAGGGAAUAGGCAGGGGCUACAGGGUACCUGCUGCUUUUAGAUGGCUGGCUUUGACAUGUUGACAGGUGUCACAUUCUGAAACAUACCGGGCAAUUUCAGGCUUCAUUCCACUCCACCAGAAGGUUUGACGGAGAUCAUGGUACAUCUUAUUGCUGCCAGGAUGGAUUGAGAACUUGGAGAGAUGAGCUUCAUCUAGGAUCUGCUUCUUAAGGUUGGGGUCGGAUGGUACAACCAGUCAGUUUCCAUAAUAUACGUUUCCAGUUUCGUCCUAUCGAAACUGCUUAUAUCCUUCAUCUUUCAAGGAGAUCUUCUUGGUGAUCCGCUUUACUUCUUCAUCCUCCACUUGGGCUGACCUUAUUUGGUCUUCUAAAGCAGACUCAAGAGCUAUGUGGCUGAGGGUUCCAUGGGGAACAAUUUCCAGACCAAGUUUUCCCAUCUCGUGACACAAAGUCUCGGUGAAGGUUGUUGCCGACAAGCAGUUGCAAAAGGUCUUGAGACUAAGAGCAUCGGCCACCACAUUGGCCUUGCCGGGAUGAUAGUGAACUUCCAAAUCAUAGUCUUUUAUUAGCUCUAACCAUCUCCUUUGGUGCAUGUUGAGGUCAGCUUGAGUGAAGAUGUACUUGAGACUCUUGUGGCCGGUGUAGAUGUUGCAGUGGGCGCCCAUCAGAUAGUGUCUCCAUAUCUUUAAGGCAUGAAUCACUGCUGCCAACUCAAGAUCAUGGGUCGGGUAGUUCAGCUCAUGAGGUCGCAACGCCCGUGAGGCAUAGGCAAUGACUUGGUUGUCUUGCAUAAGAACACAUCCAAGUCCAGUGCCAGAGGCGUCACAGUACACGUCAAACGGCCUAGAGGGGUCGGGUUGGGCCAAAACUGGGGCUGUGGUCAGCAGGCGCUUUAAGGUUUUGAAGGCUUCUUCACAUGUGUCGUCCCACAUGAAUCUGACCUCUUUCUUCAACAACUCUGUCAUCGGCUUAGCUAUCUUGGAGAAAUCCGGUAUGAAACACCGGUAGUAGCCUGCCAGUCCAAGGAAACUUCGUAUCUGGUGCACUGAGGCGGGAGGCUUCCAGUCCAUAACUUCCUGUACCUUGCUGGGGUUGACGGCUAUGCCAUCCUUGGAGAUAGUGUGUCCCAAAAACUUGACACUAUCUAACCAGAACUCACACUUGGAGAACUUGGCAUAGAGUUGAUGAUCUCUUAGCCGUUGGAGAACUACGCGAAGAUGGUUGGCAUGUUCUUCUUCACUCUUCGAGUACACGAGGAUAUCAUCAAUGAACACCACUACAAACUUGUCCAACUCAGGCAUGAACACUGAGUUCAUGAGGUACAUGAAAUAGGCGGGUGCAUUGGUGAGUCCAAAGGACAUGACCAGGUACUCGUAGGGUCCAUAUCUUGUGGAGAAUGCUGUUUUGGGUAUGUCGCAGGGUCGGAUCUUGAUUUGGUGAUAACCCGAACGAAGAUCGAUCUUGGAGAACACUUUUGCUCUAGCUAACUAAUCAAACAAGACAUCGAUGCGUGGCAGUGGGUACUUGUUCUUGACGGUCACCGCAUUGAGGGGUCGGUAGUCCACACACAUGCGGAGACUCCCAUCCUUCUUCUUCACAAACAAGGCGGGGCAACCCCAAGGUGAUGUGCUGGGUCGGAUGAAGCCUUUUUCCAACAGAUCAUGCAACUGGGUCUUCAACUCGGCCAACUCAGUAGGCGGCAUCCGAUAGGGUCUCUUGGACAUCGGAGCUGUGCCGGGGAUCAACUCUAUGGAAAACUCCACAUCUCUAUUGGGCGGCAUGCCGGGCAAGUCCUCUGGGAACACAUCCGGGUAUUCACAGACAACAGGGAGGCUUUCUAGCCGGGCUUCCGACAGAGGGUACGCACAAGGAAGUGCGGAUUUAGGAGGGUUCAAGAACAGGGUACAACUGCCAUGAAAGGGUGAGUUGAUGUAAAGAGUUCGGGCAGCUGUAUCUAGAACCACUUGGUGUCUGGUCAUCCAAUCCAUCCCGAGGAUGAUAUCUAUUCCUUCCAGGUCAAGGAUGAUAAGAUUUUCAUAAAAAAAGGGUUUGGCCUAGCUGGAGAGGUACAAGAGUAACGAUCUGAUCCGAGGCUAUCUUUCCUCCCGGAGUGGCGAUCACAUAGGAUUCUUUAGUGUGACCGACAUCCAGCUCACAUCUUUCUCUAGUCUUACUCCCGAUGAAGCUAUGAGAGGCUCCCGAAUCCAACAACACAACAACAGCUUGAUUUAAGACAAGGAAAGUACCCGUCAUCACUGGCGCACCUUCGGGGAGUUCGGUCAAGCUGGUGUAGUUGAGCCGUCCUUGUCGAACUUGCACCUUGGGCCUUCUUCCUCUGUUCGCUGCUGAUUUCUGUUCCUGGGGCAGUCCUUAGCAAAAUGCCCUUCAUUGCCGCAGGUGAAGCAGCGGUUACCAGUUGCAGGGUGGGGUGGUGCUGGUGGGGUCGGCUGGGGUGCCUGUGGUUGGAAGCCGGGAAAACGGGGCGCUGCUGCUGGUGGGGGUCAGGCAAUCCACCUUUCCGACUGUUGGGGUCGGCCGGGCGCUUGUGGAGGAACCAUCCGGAACCUUCGAGUUGGCUGGCUCAGAAAUGCCACGGAGGCCUUCCUCUUCUGGUCGGCUUUGAGAGCCUGCAUGCAAUCCUCUUGCGAGAUGGCCAGGUUGACCAACUCGUUGUAGGUAUCCACCUUGAUGGGGUUCAAUCUCUCUCUGAGCUCCAAACUCAGUCCUCAGCGGAAUCUAUCCCGCUUCUUCUCGUCUGUGUCCGCACGAUAGCCGGCAUAACAGCACAGAUCAUUGAAAGCCUGGGCGUAGUGCAGGACUGUGGCGGAACCACCUCGGAUUAGCUUGAUUAAGCAGGGUUAAGCCGCCUAACAUGCGACACUCCUGCCUAAACCGAGUUAAUACGAAGUGCCGUCGGAUUUCAUCCGAUUUAACCACUUAAACAGGAUCGAGUUUAGCAACCCACACAAAGGUGAGUGGUUACAGAGAAUACAACAAGUCCCCUGAGUUGAACAAGUUUUACCCAUUUAGUUCGGCCAUAAAAACCAACAUCGGAGUUUUACAAGUUUUCAAGAAACAACAGAGAAAACACUAGCGGAAGACUUCAUCGGGGUCGGACAUCCCUGGUGAGGCCAACCGGGACAUCACUGGCUCCUCUCCUCGUCGUUCGAGGAAGGAUCCCACUCGACCGUCCAGCCUGGCGGGAGCUGGGGCGGCCAAGCACCAACCAGAGAGGGGUCGGAAGCAGCAACUUCACCUGAAAAACAGGAGCCACAACAGGACUGAGCUACUAAGCUCAACAAGACUUAACCGAUAGGAGUUAGCUACUCCUCCAUCUAGACAUGCAAGGCUUUUUGGCAGAGGGGUUUGUUUGCCAAAAGUACUAAGUAACCCUAGUUUCAAGUUUUAGCUCCGGUUCUAGGUUCAUUUACCAGUCUAGGUUGUGCCACCUAUUCUAAGCAUUCAUAGAACCAAACAAGAUGAGUAGAUAUAACAACAAACAUUGCCAUCAUCAGAUUCCUCAUUUACUCAGGGUGACAUAGCGAUCAAGCAAUCUCAAACUGUGAGAGGCAGACGAAUCGAUUCGAGUUCUUUAACCAUGCAUGGUGAACCUAGCCUCACGACAUCCGCGCACCCGGGGGUCGCUUCCUGUGUCGGCCUUCCCCAUCAAUCCCCUAACCCGUGUCGGGCCCAUUUCCUUGGUGCAAGGUUCCACAGACCCGGCCUCUGCCGUUCUGUGACCACGCUUGCGACCACAUGCGACAACCAGCAGGGGAAACUCCGUUCCAAGAACAAUGGGGCGACCGCUCACGUCUAGGUUCAAUCCGGUACUAGGCUUCCUCAUCCCAUACUAAGUAUGAGGCUAGUACUUUCAAACACUUGAUCACGAACACCACCACUGUCGGGCCUUAGCAAGAUUUCAUAGACAGAUGGGGCGACUAUCCGACCACCAAAAAGUUACCAAACCCUGCCCCGUCCAUCGUCCUUAUAGUUAUAACAGGAGAGUAAACAUGCAACUCCUACAACUCGCGAGUGACAGGAAAUCACUCGACUUUUACCGUCUCCUAGUUAAGCAAAGCAGCUACUCGGUCCAACAGCUAGUGCUCAGAUCAUGGGUUAACUGAGUCAUGCAUCUAGGGUUUCACACAACUCCUAUAGGUAAAUGCACAAGCAUGUUACAGAAGGCAUGUGCAAGUUUGGUGAACACUCAAGGUUUUCAUGCAACCGGGGCUUGCCUUCAAGCAAGGAGGACGGGAACUGCUCGACUUCGGGGGUGACUUCGGCUUCGGAGGACAGGAGCUCGGCUACAGCUUCUUCUUCUGGCGCCGGGUGAAGCUCGUAGAAACCGUCGGCGAGGUGCAGCUCUACACGAAUGCAAUGCAAGGGUUAGCAUAGACGGUUAAAUCAACAGCAACACUGGCUCGCCUGAGCCCAGAAACUUGCGACAAAGAGCAGGAGGUUAUGGUGGUUCGAGAGAGCUGAUGAUGAUCAAGAGGUAAGGGUAGGAAAGGAACUAGUGGUCUGAUCCUUGAACUAGAGGAUGUGAUAAACUGGGGGUCCUUAGACGCAAGCGCUGAAGGGUUCCCAAGUUUUACACAUACACCCUCGAGUUGAAGAAAAAGAUCACAGCCAAGCCCUCGGGCGAGGCGGAUAAGGGUCGGUGGAACAGAUAGGAUCGGGCGAGACAGAACUGGGGUCGGGCGGAUAUGGGGGGUCGGGCGAGGCGGACUGGGGUCGGCAACUCACCUUCUUCCUGAAAGGAAAGCGUGGGGUCGGGAAGAAGCGGACUUGGGCGGAUGGACUAAGGUUUGAACAGAAGCUAAGACCGGCAAUGCUCCGACGGUGGCGCUGCUUCUUGAGGAUCACAAGAGAGCUUUUACGCAGCACGGAGGAGCAAGCUGCUGGGUGACUUGGAGAAAACUGAGAGAGAACUGAGAGAAGAACUCCUCAAGAACUAGGUGGGUGGUGCUAGGAGCUUGAGCAGGGAGCUAGAGAAGGCUGAAGGCAACAAGGGCGGAGGGAAACUCCGGCGACGGGGGCAUUCCUUUUAUAGCUGCUGGAGCAGAGGAAAGGAAACGGCGCGGAGAGAGAGAAGGGGAGCGGCGCGAAGACCGGGGAGAGGCAAUGGAGUGCUCUGCCGGGGCGGCGAUUGAGCGAAGAGGGCGGUGGUGCAGAGCUUCGGGGGUGACGCCAGCGAUCAUUGCGUUCUGCCGUCAGGGCGGCGUAGGAGCGGGUAGACUAGUGGUUGAGAUUUGGCGGAAAGCGGGCGUCGCCGUGCGGAAGAGGUGAUAGAAGCGACCGGUUUAACGGCGCUAGAAUCGAGGGCGCACAGGUGAGAAGAUAGGCGGACGCGGGCGCGGGGGAGAGCGCGGAACAACAGAUUGUCGGGCGGCUUCUGACAGAGCGGGGGAAAGGAACUGUCGCGGCCGCGGUCGGGGUUGGCGGUGGAGGAAUUGUCGUGUAGCGGCGACCGGGCAGCGCGACUGUGGCUGAAGGGACGGAAAAGACUGGCGACAUCGGGCUCUGGGGCCGGGAUCUGGUGGCGUGAUGAUGGGCGCGGGAGGCGAGGCGCUGCAGAAAGGGGUGCAGAGGGCUUCCGCUACCAUUGGGGAAAGGGGGCGCGGGAACCCACUCGGUUGCUUGCCAGAGACAAAACUGAGCGGCAGGCGUCAGAGAAGACGAGCCACGCGGCAGGAAGACUCUGAGGCGGCCAUGCAACUCGAGUGCGGCUAUCGCGGGGGAUCUAGAAAAGAUCUCACGGGUCCACCAGUGGAUAGAUCAGACGGGUGAGGAAGAUUAGCAGAAUCCGACGGUGGGCUGAGCUCGCCGGGGUCGGGAGAGGAGCGAAGCGGGAAGGGGUCGGAUCCAGGGGUCGGGACCAGGCGGCUAGCUGAGCACUUAGGCGCAAUCAAGCAAGACAGAUGACUAGGAUCAAGGGCUCUGAACAAGACUAACUCGGGAAGGGUUAGGGGUCGGUCGUUACAAGGACAUCUUGGGUUCCCUAGGUAAGAGCCAGGAACUCGUUGAGCUUGCGCUCCAAGCGACCUUCCGGAAUAUGAUGCCCUUUGAACGCGGUCUUAAACUCGUUCCAGCUGACUACAUGGCCGGCCGGCAACAUAGCAUGGUAGUGGUCCCACCAGAGCCGGGCGGAACCACGCAGCUGCUGAGCUGCAAAUCGGGCCUUGUUAUGGUCGGGGCACGGGGCGGUGAGGAGCUCGAACUUGGAUUCAAUCGUACGAACCCAAGCGUCGGCGUCGAGCGGUUCUUGUGUCUUCUGAAACAAAGGGGGCUGCGUCCCCAAGAAGCCUUCAUAUCGAGCAACAUGAGGUUGCUGCUGAGCUCUUCCGCCAUGGGGCUGCUGCUGUUGUCCUUGUACAAGAUGCCUCAGCAGCUCGGUUUGAGCCGCUAGGAUUGCCUCUAGUGGAGACGAGGGCGGGGGUGAGGGAAGAUCUUGUCUUUGCUCACUGCUGCCGGGCACAGAACCAGAUCUGGUGCGAUGCGCCAUCUGCAAGAGUUAACAUUCCAUUAAAUUCAUAAUCUUAGAAGUACUCCAACAGAUGGAACGCAUAAGUUAAAAAUUCUCCGAUGUAACUCUUGCUGAUAAUGCAACACACGUCCUCAUAAGGGAGAUACACUCUUCUCAUUGCCAUGUUAGUUAGAUCUAUCUUAGUUGUGUACUCGACUUCGGGCGAACCAUACCCUACCCAGACUCCUGGAAUUCCCUUACAUCUGAACUUAAGCCAAGGGGUCGGGCUAGGCGAUCAUCCCGAGAAAAGGGUCAGCAAGCGAUCCACACAAAAAGGGGUCGGGCGAGGCGGAGACUGCCUCGUGGGGUCGGACGCAUCCGAUCUUGCGAACCAAGGUCGGUCAAGCUUGAUCAAACCCACAGACAACAUCGUGUGUGGUCACUGCACAAAUUACUUAGUCUAACAUUCCAACACUUUGCCAAAGAGUUAAAGGUCAGACUCAGGAUUUGAUUUCAUUGGGAUCUUUUUACAGAGGUGUUCCAAACACAGGGAGUACUCGACUGAAGGCUGACCUAUCACAGAUCUUUCCAAAAUUUAGGCUGCCGAGGAGUACAACAAAAGAAUGAGUUCCUUGCAACUCUUCAUCUACAAAUGAACACUAUGAGUAGGAGAAGGGGCGCCGUCUUCUUCAAUGUCCAUACUGGACGCUCCCUCAACCUCCUCGGGGUCCUCUUAAGCUUCUAGUUGCAUAUGGAGGGCGUGCAUAUCGUCGAGCUCGGCUUGAUGCUCGUCCAGGUGAGCAUUGGCAACCGCCAGCUCCAUUUCCACUUCCAUUUUCUCCUCUGAUAGCUCGAUCAUGCCGUCCACCAGGUCGGAUACUUCUCCUUCGAGCUCAGAGAUUCUAUCUUGCAUGUCAUGGAUCUGAACGCCUUGUUGGAUAAGCUGAUAGGUUUGGCCUACCAGGUCUCUUCUGGCUGCCUGGAGGUGUCCUUGGGCAUCCACAGCGGUCUGAGCAAGAAUGGUCAUGGCUCUUCCUUGGAGCUCAAUCAUCCAAUAGAGGGCCGACAUACACCGGAUGUUGGUGGAGAUGGUGACCAUAGAGUAGGUGGUGGCCAGCACCUCGAUAUUGCCAACGCGGUCGAGCCACGCCGGAUCCAACCGGUUCCUGGCAGGGAACAGGCCGAUGGGGUCUAGGGUGACCUCCAGUGGGUGCAGCUGACAGAAACGAGUAAGGAGCUGAAGGGUGGCGGACUCCCAGGUGUCUUCUGGGGCAAGACCAUAUGCUGAUAUCCCGAACGAGGGCCAGUCAGGCCGCACAGGAGGAGGAGGUACUACUGCCUGUACGUUGCACGUCUGGACGCCUUGCUCCAGGUACAGUCGUCCUGCAUACAACGGUGGGGACUGGUACCCGAACCAUUUCAAGGUAUCCCACAAAAUCGCGGGGAAGCCCUCGAAGUGUAGACACGUUGAAUGGAAGGUGCCAUCCGCUCCAUAUAGGACAUGUCCGGGGGCGGCCAUCUGGAAUCAAGAAACCAAAACCACGUGAGAUGGACUCCAAAGGUCAGGGGUCGGACAAAGAAAGCAUUCGGUUUUUUAACUGAAAACAAGUUGGAGGAACUAGAAAUCCUUAGAACCGAAGAAGAGCUCUCCGAGCAAGGUUGCUUUUGAGGAGGGUGACUUUACAGAUUUUAGCUUAUGUCGCAUGCACGGCCUACAUCGUUCUCAACCAAAACAACUGGCAAAACUUGGUCUUACGCGGUUAGUGCCGGUGACAAGGCAACCAAUACGUCUCUCCCUAUAAUAGCUAGUCGGUUCUAGCAACGUCUCCUAAGCGAACGCGGUUAGUGUACCUGCAGAAAACACCACCACAGACGAACCUUUCGUGCCAGCACCCACGAAAGUGUUCCCAAACAUUACCGCUCACUAUAGGAACGGCACCCAUGCGUUCAAGGCUGCAUGGACAGCACUCAACCAUGGAAAUAGGUUGCCUUUGAAUGGAACCGUAUAACCCUUUGCAUACUCGCGAUGCGGAAUCAGCGCACGUAUAAUAGACGUGGCGAACAACCGUGCUGAUAGGCUCGUUGGAAUCGAACCGUACCAACCUUCGUAUGGAUUACAUACGGAACCUGCGCACGUAUGAUAGACGUGGGCGAAACAACCGCGAUGAUAGGGUCCUUUGAAUAGAACUCUCUAUCAACCCUCACAUACUCGUGAUGCGGAACUCGUCACACGUAUGAUAAACGUGGAGAAGUGCUGGAAGGGUUAGCAAGAUAACCAUGUAAAAUAUUAGCCACCUAAAACAACCCCAAAAUCCCCUAGGGCCUCUCGCACUGAAGUUAUCCUUAACGAUCGUACGAGAUAGUUUUCAAAAAGUUUCUUGCAACUUUUAUCUUUUCAAAGAAGUGUGCUAGGGCUUGUUGUGUUCUCUGUAUUGCUAACCAGCUCUGGUACCAGCUGUGGCGGAUCCACUUCGGAUUAACUUGAUUAAAUAGAGUUAAGUCGCCUAACAUGCGACACCCAUGCCUAAGCCAAGUUAACACGAAGUGCCGUCGGAUUUUAUCCGAUGAACCACGUGAACAGGAUCGAGUUAGCAAACUCACACGAAGAUGAGUGGUUCCAGAGAAUACAACAAGUCCACCGAGUGGAACAACUUAACCAUUUAGUUCGACCAGAAAAACAAUUCAUCAGAGUUUUACAAGGUUUCAAAAGAAAACAACCGAAGGUAAACAGCAAGCGGAAGCUAAACGCAGGGGUCGGACGUCCUUGGUGAGGCCAGCCAAGACGUCAGUGAUACCUUUCCUCGCCGUCCGAGAAGGGAUCCCACUCGACCGUCCAACCCGGAGGGAGCUGGGGCGGCCAAGUGCCAGCGGAAGAAGGCUCGGGAGCAGCGACUUCACCUGAAAAACAGGAGCCACAACAAGGCUGAGCUACUAAGCUCAACAAGACUUAACCGACAGGGAGUAACUACUCCACCACUUCUAGACAUGCAAGGCUCUUUGGCUGAGGGGGGUUUGUUUGCCAAGAAGCACUAAGUAAAACCCUAUUUUCAAGUUUUAGCUCCGGUUCUAAGUUCAUUAUCCGGUCUAAGUUUUGCAACCUAUUCUAGGCAACCAUAGAACCAACCAAAGGUAUAUAUAUAACAUCAUCAAGAUCAUGUCGUCAUUAUAUUUCUUUCUUACUCAGGGUAGCAUAGCGAUCAAGCAGUCUCAAACUGUGAGAGGCAGACGAAUCGAUUCGAGUUCUUUAACCAUGCAUGGUGAACCUAACCUCACGACAUUCGCGCACCCGAAGGUCGCUUCCUGUGUUGGCCUUCCCCAUCAAUCCCCUAACCCGUGUCGGGCCCAUUUCCUUUGGUGCAAGGUUCCACAGACCCGGCCUCUGUCGUUCUGUGACCACGCUUGCCACCACGUGCGACAACUAGCAGGGGAAACUCCGUUCCAAGAACAAUGGGGCGACCGCUCACGUCUAGGUUCAAUCCGGUACUAGGCUUCCUCAUCCCAUACUAAGUAUGAGGUUAGUACUUUCAAACACUUGAUCACGAACACCACCACUGUCAGGCCUUAGCAAGUUUCAUAGAUAGACGGGGCGAUCAACCGACCACCAAAGAGUUACCCAAAACCCUGCCCCGUCCAUCGUUCUUAUAGUUGUGACAGGAGGAAGACAACCCCUACCACUCGCGAGCAAUAGGAAAUCACUCGACUUUUACCGCAUCCUAUUUAAGCAAAGCAGCUACUCGAUCCAACAGCUAGUGUUCAGAUCAAGGGAUCUAAGUUAUACAUCUAUGGUUCCAAACAACUCCUAUACGUAAAUGCACAAACAAGAUGCAGAAGGCAUGCGCAAUUUUGGAAAACAUAGGGAUUUCAUGCAUCCAUGGCUUGCCUUCAAGCGAGAAAGGAGGAAGCUGCUCUUCUGCUCGGGCGGCUUCAGCUUCUGAGGGCAGGAGCUCGGCUACACCGUCGUCUUCUGCCGCCGGGUGCAGCUCGUAGUAGCCGUCGGCGAGACGCAUCUCUACACGAAUGCAAUGCAAGAGUUAGCAUUUUAGACGGUUAUUUCAAUAGCAACACUUGCAAGUAUGAGCCCAGAAACUUGCGACAAGUAAUAGGAGGGUGGGGAGGUUAAAGGAGUUGGUGGAGAUCAAGAGGUAAGGGUCGGAGGAAAGGAACUUAUGAUCGGAUCCUUAGACUAGAGGAAUAGCUAUGCUAGGGGUCCUCAGACUCAACGCUGAAAGGUCCCCAAGUUUUUACACAUACACCCUCGGUUCGAAGAAAAAGGAUACAGCUGAGUCCUCGGGCGAGGCGGACAAGGGUCGGCGGAACAGACAGGGUCGGACGAGACGGAACCGGGGUCGGGCGGAUAAGAGGGGUCGGGCGAAGCGGACAAGGGUCGACAGAACAGACAGGGUCGGGCGAGACGGAAAAAGGGGUCGGGCGGACGGAAGGGUCGGACGAGGCGGACAAGGGAUCAGCAGCUUACCUUUGUCUUACAAGGAAAGCUUGGGGUCGGGAAGAGCAGGUUCGGGCGGAGGAACUGGAAUACUAAGGCUUGCGGCGGAGAUGCCCGGCGGUGCUCCGGCGGCGGCGGUGCUUCUUGUGGAUCACAAGUAAGCUCUUACGCAGCACGGAGGAGCAAGCGGCUGGGUGGAUUGGGGAAAACGGUGUGAAGCGGAGAGGAGAGUUCCUCAGGGACUUAGUGUGGUGGCGCUGGGAGCUCGAACAGGGAGCAAGAGAAAUGGCGGGAGGGUAGUGAUGGCGAAGGGGACUCCGGUGGGGCUCGCGCAUUCCCUUUUAUAGCGGCGCGGGAGUGAGAAGGGGAGUGGCGCGAAGGCCGGGGAAGAAGUAAUGGAGUGCUCUGCCCGGGCGGCGAUUGAGCGACGAGGGCGGUGGAGCAGGACUUCGGGGAUGACGCCGGCGGUCAUUGAGCUCUGGCGUCAGGGCGGCGCAGGCGCGGGUUUGCCGGUGGUUGAGAUUUGGCGGAGGCGGGUGUCGUCGUGCGGUGGAGCUGAUGGAAGUGACCGGGAUAACGGCGCUAGGAACGAGGGCGCACAGGUGAGAAGACAGGCGGCUGCGGGCGCGCGGGCGAGCGCGGAGCAACAGAUUGUCGGGCGGCUUCUGACAGGGUGGGAAAAAGGAGCUGUCGCUGCCGUGGUCGGGGUUGGCGGAGGAGGAAUCGUCGGGUAGCGAAGACCAGGCGGCGCGACUGUGGUGAGGUGACGGAAAAGACGGGCGACAUCGGGCUCUGCGGCCGGGAUCUGGCGAUGUGAUGAUGGGCGCGGGCGGCGAGGUGCUGCAGAAAGGUUGCAGAGGGGUUUCCGCUGCGAUUGGGGAAGGGGGCGCGAGAAUCCAAUCGGUCACGGGCCGAAGACGAGGCGGAGCGGCGGCGUCGGAGGAGUUGAGCCACGCGGCGGGGGAACUCUGAAGUGAGCAUGCAACUCGAGUGCGCCUGUCACGGAAGAUCUGGGGGAAAAGAUCUCGUGGGUCCACCGGUCAGAUCGAAGGGAGGUGUUGGGGAAGACUUAGAAGAAUCCGGCGGGUGAGUUGGGGUCGGCGGGGUCGGAACCGGAGGCCAGCGGAGAGGGGUCGGGUCUCAGGGGUCGGGACCGGUCGGGAGGUUGAACACUUAGGCUUGGAAAACUAAGGCAGGUGAUCAGGGGCUCAGAUUAAGAUUAACUCGGGAGAUUUCGGGGUCGGUCGUCACACCCCUCCUCACCAAAUCUUAGAGACGAGUGACGCGCUAACCCCUCGCAGCGCUGGAGAGGAUCACCACUCGUGUGGCCGUGUGCCACGUCCGGAUCUACUCCCCUCACCGGAUAUUAACAUGAGUACGGUCGCCACCGUCGUCUUGCAACGCUGCCGCUGCCUCUGCCUGUUUAGACCUUGUUUAGUUUCCAAUUUGAAAGUGCUAAAGUUGUGAUUUUACCAUAAAUGCGCAACUGUAGCAUUUCGUUUGUAUUUGUGAAUUAUUAUCCAAACAUUGAUUAAUUAGGCUUAAAAAAUUCAUCUCGCAAAGUACAACAAAACUGUACAAUUAGUUUUUGAUUUCGUUUACAUUUAGUAUUCCAUGCAUGUACUGCAAGUUUGAUGUGAUGGGGAAUCUUCUUUUUGCAUAGUGUCAAAGUUGGGAGUUUGGAGGGAACUAAACAUGGCCUUGAUUAAGAAACCAUUGUGUCAGACCGGACGGAGUCUAGAGACCGUUACCUUGCGUAAGCACACGUGCACCGUUCGCUUGGGUUUCGGUUGCUGCGUUUCUAGCUUGAACAGCUUGGUCCUUCCGCUUGCUCUAAGCAGCUUACCGAUGAAAAUAAAUAAGAAUCCUGAUAAAUAAUUUGCUUAUUUUCAUCAAUUUUCACUUAUGUGGUAAGCCGCUUCAGAGAUUUAAACUACGAAAAGCGAAAAGCGAGAAGCGAGAAAAUCUUCGUUUAGAUUAUAAUCCAAGCGUGAUUAGAAGAAACGUAUCCCACCGCAUAAGGAUUAGUCGCCGCGUUUGACCGGAGCACUGUCUGACCGCAAGAAAGAUUAUGACGAGGCGAAGUCGCUUUAGGGAUUUAAACUACGAGAAGCGAAAAGCGAGAAGCGAGAAAAUCUUCGUUUAGAUUAUAAUCCAAACGUGGUUAGGAGAAACGUAUCCCACCGCAUAAGGAUUAGUGGUCGCGUUUGACCAGAGCACUGUCUGACCGGAUUAUGACGAGGGGAAAGUGACUCCGACCUAAAUUUCUCUUUUUUAACACAUGCAGUCAAGAACAAAAUGAUGAUAACUACUCUAACGGGCGUUAACAUAUAGUACAAGCGUACAGAUCAUGCUCUCUCCGAUAAGGCAUUUUAAGGUUUUAAGGCUGUUCGAAGCAAACCAUUUCGAAGUUUGACAAUAAGUAGUCUUUAUGUUGAGUUUGAAUAUUUAGAAGUUAUGCGAGUUUUGAAUGUUUAGAAGUUAUGCGAGUAUAUAUGUCUAAACACAGUUUUAAAAUAUGUGUACUUUCUGUACUGUACUGUAUAUUGGAAGAAAAAGUGGCGGUCAAAAUUUAAAAAGAUAACAUUGGACAGUCUGAAUGUGUCACUACUCACUAGUAGCCUAAGUGCCUGACCAAGACCUUGUUUAGUUAUCCUAAAAUCCCAACUUAAGCACUAUGCAAAAAGAAGAUUCUCCAUCACAUCAAACUUACGGUAUAUGUAUGGAGUACUGAAUGUAGACGAAAUCAAAAACUAAUUGCACAGUUUGGUUGUACUUUGCGAGACGAAUCUUUUGAGCCUAAUUAGUCAAUAUUUGAUAAUAAUUCACAAAUACAAACGAAACACUACAAUAUGCAACAGUGUUGACGCAGUGGACUAAACAGGGCGCAAAGGGAGUACUUCAGUUUAGGCCUCGACUUCUAGAGCAAAGACCCAGCUGAGCUCGGUCUUCCACUCAUCCACUGUACUUCGAGAAGGCAUUUCUCCACGAACAAGACGUUUGCGUCUGGAUGGAUCCUAAUCCGACGAAAAACCACGCACUAAUCCAGGAAAUCUUGAAAUAAGAAGCUUCGCAGCAGGAAGGACGGCUCGUGCCAGUCAACGGUAGGUGUUUAGCGUAGAAAAAACAGGGGAGCCCCUGCUCCGGCCGCAUUUGCUUACCGAGCGAAAUCGUCCCCCCUCUUCCCGCGCCCGCCGCGGCGGUCGAGCGCAGCCAACGCCACUCCACCCCACGAAACCCAAACCGUCCGAGCCAUCAGAUCAGACAUGGCACCGCCGCGCCGCGCUCGCGCGCGCGCCUACCUCCACCUGCUGCUCGCGGUCGUGCUGCUCCCCUGCUGCUGCCUCCCGCGCCGCGCGGCCGCGCAGUCCCCGCCGGCGGGCGAGGCGCGGGUGCUGCUGGAGAUCAAGCGCGCGUGGGGCGACCCGCCCGCGCUCGCGGGGUGGAACGCCACGGACGCGGCCACGCUCUGCAGCUGGCCGCACGUCGGUUGCGACGCGGCCGGCCGCGUCGUGAACCUCACCCUCGCCAACGCCAACGUCGCGGGCCCCUUCCCGGACGCCGUCGGCGACCUCACCGGCCUCACCUACCUCGACGUCUCCAGCAACAACAUCACCGGCGUGUUCCCGACCACGCUCUACCGCUGCGCUUCACUUCAGUACCUCAACCUGUCCCUGAACUACUUCGGUGGCGCGCUCCCGGCUAACAUCGGCAGCAGCCACGCCGCGAGCCUGACCACACUCGACCUCAACGGCAAUAAGUUUAAUGGCACCCUCCCGGCGUCGCUCUCCGAGCUACGGAGCCUCCAGUAUCUCGAUCUGAGCAGCAACAGCUUCACCGGCGCCAUCCCGGCAUCGCUCUCUGGACUCGGGAACCUCCAGCUUCUCGGGUUGAACGACAACCGCUUCACGGGCACCAUCCCGGCGGAGCUCGGCGAGCUCGCGAGCCUUCAGUCGCUGUAUCUGGCAAACAACCCUUUCGACGCAGGCCAGCUGCCGGCGUCGUUCAAGAAUAUGUCCAACCUGGUCAGCCUCUGGGCGUCGCAGUGCAAUCUCGUCGGAGACUUCCCCAAUUUUGUUUGGAGCCUGAAGAAGCUGCAACUAUUGUUUCUAUACACAAACAGCAUCACCGGCGACAUGGUCAUUGAUGGAUUUGCUGCGAGAAGCUUGACAAAAAUCGACGUCUCAGACAACAAAAUUAGUGGAGUCAUCCCGGAAGUGUUUGGGGGAUUGGAGAACCUCACAAUCUUGAACCUCUUCAUGAACAACUUCUCCGGCGAGGUACCAGCCAGCAUCGGCCAGUUGCCGUUACUGAGGAUAUUGAGACUCCACACCAACAGGCUCAACGGCACGCUCCCACCGGAGCUCGGAAAGCAGUCGCCGGGUUUGUAUUAUGUUGAGGUUGACUACAAUGAUUUCACCGGCGGGAUCCCUGAAGGACUGUGCACCGGAGGCAACUUCCACGAACUCAAAGCCAAGAGCAACCGAUUGAACGGCUCCAUCCCGGCAGGCCUUGCCAACUGCGCCACUCUUGGAACCCUGUCGCUGGACAACAACCAACUCACCGGCGACGUACCAGAGGCUCUGUGGACGGCGACGAAGCUUUACUUCGUGACAAUGCAGAGUAAUCAGCUCACCGGGACUCUUCCGGCCACGGUGCAUUUCAACAUUUCGACGUUACGCAUUGGGAACAACCAAUUCAGUGGCAACAUUCCGGCUGCAGUAGCUGCUCUCCAGGUGUUCACCGCCGAGAACAACCGGUUUUCUGGUGCGAUACCGGCGAGUCUUGGCGACGGCAUGCCGCUGCUGCAAAGACUCAGCUUGUCCGGGAACCAACUGUCCGGCGGGAUCCCGAGAAGCGUUGCUAAGCUAAGCCAGCUGACGCAAAUGGACCUGAGCAGGAAUCAGCUCACCGGCGGCAUACCGGCAGAGCUCGGCGCCAUGCCGGUGUUAAGUGUCCUUGACCUGUCGUCGAACAAGCUCUCCGGCAACGUACCGCAGGCGCUUGCGAAGCUACAACUCACCUCCCUGAACCUGUCCUCGAACCAGCUGAGCGGUCAGGUCCCGGCCGGGUUGGACACAGCGGUCUACGACACCAGCUUCCUCGACAACCCCGGCCUCUGCACCGCCGCUGCCGGAUCCGGCUACCUCACCGGCGUACCUUCCUGCGCCGGCGGAUCACAAGACCGCGCUUCCUCCGGAGGCGUCUCGCACGCACUCCGCACGGGCCUCCUCGCCGCCGGCGCCGCGCUCCUCCUAAUCGCCGGUGCGUUCGCCUUCUUCGUCAUCCGCGACAUCAAGAAACGGCGGCGCGUCGCGGAGCAAGACGACUGGAAGAUCACGCCUUUCGUAAAAGAUCUGGGAUUCGGUGAGGCACCCAUACUCCGGGGGCUGACGCAGGAGAACAUCGUCGGCCGCGGGGGAUCGGGGCGCGUGUACCGCGUCGCCUACACCAACCGGCUUAACGGCCGAGCCGGCGCGGUGGCCGUGAAGCAAAUACAGACCGCCGGGAAGCUCGACGAGAAGCUGGAACGCGAGUUCGCGUCCGAGGCUGGCAUCCUCGGCAACCUCCGGCACAACAACAUCGUCAGGCUCUUGUGUUGCCUCUCCAACGCCGAGUCCAAGCUCCUCGUGUACGACUACAUGGACAAUGGCAGCCUGGACAGGUGGCUCUACGGCGACGCCCUCCCCGCCGGUGGGCGCCCCAUGGCAAGGGCGCGGUCCGCGCGGCGCGAACCGCUGGAUUGGCCGGCGAGGCUCAGGGUGGCCGUCGGCGCCGCGCAGGGGCUGUGUUACAUGCACCACGAGUGCGAGCCGCCCAUCGUUCACCGGGACGUCAAGACGAGCAACAUCCUGCUGGACUCGGAGUUCCGGGCCAAGAUCGCCGAUUUCGGGCUGGCCAGGAUGCUGCUGCAGGCCGGGGCGCCCGAGACGAUGUCCGCCGUUGCCGGAUCGUUCGGCUACAUGGCUCCUGGUAAGGAUCCGAACUUGCUGCUUCCAGUGAAUUUCUGUCCCAUUUCUCCAGAUUCAAUAACUGGGGAGCAGCACUGUUACAAAUGCCACAUGCUCUCGUGUUGCCGGACCUUAGAUUGGGCCUUUUGAUGCUUAUCUGCAGAGUGCGCUUACACCAUGAAGGUGAGCGAGAAGGUUGACGUUUACAGCUUCGGCGUCGUUCUCCUGGAGCUCACCACCGGAAAGGAGGCCAACGACGGCGGCGAGCACGGCUGCCUGGCGGACUGGGCACGGCACCACUACCAAUCAGGAGGGAGCAUCCCCGACGCCACAGACAAGAGCAUCAGAUACGACGGGUACUCUGACGAGAUCGAGGUUGUCUUCAGGCUCGGCGUGCUCUGCACCGCCGAUAUGCCGUCGUCGCGGCCAACCAUGAACGACGUGCUGCAGAUCUUGGUCAAGUGCAGCGAGCAGACGUACCACAAGGGCAAGACGGAGCGUGGCCCAGAGUAUGAGGCGGCUCUGCUACCCAAGCGCGGCAGUCGCCGGAAACAGCUUUCAAACGACUCGGGGAUCGACAUCGAAGAGAAGAUCGACUUCGACAGCAUUGUCUGAAGAAAGGAACUGACCACUGCAUAUGCCAGUAAGCAGCUUGUGACAUCGUCAGUGAACUGCUUAGCAAUAGUGAUACUUCACAUUUUAGCAUAGUACAGCGGAGAAUUAUGCGUCUAAGCUUUUUUUUCUGAAGAGCUACGUGUCUUUAUAUUAAAAGAGAAUAUAAAUAGAAAAACCGGUCUCUUGGAAGCAACCACUCUAGCUCACCUAGGAGAAUAGAGAGAUUGCAGAAAUAAGCGAAUAAAAACAUCGUUACCACACCUUGACCCUGCACGGCUGGACUAGGUACAUGCAUAGAAUAGAGUAGGGCUUGUGGCUAGCCAAACCGUUCUGUGUGUUGAUACUGCAAACUUGUAAUAAAUCACACACAUAUUAUACGUUCAGAUAGAAGAACUAGCAAACAUUACGAUUAUCAUUUCUUUCUGAAACAAAUAUGUUUUGGCUAGUUUCAAAUAUGUUUUUUUAUUUUAUUAGACAUUUAAAACAAUCUGAUUUAAUCUAAAAAUUCAUAACUAAUUAAUUUUAAAUCAUAAAAUAUGAAACUAGUACCCAUCUUUUUCUAGAAUGUUACCUUCUAUGUUGUUUUUUUUUGGGAGUUAUUGGCAUAUUAUUGUUCCCAUCUCUAGUGUUUUAUUGUUUGUAGUCAAACCUGCUAUUUAUUUAUUGUUGUUUUGCAUUGUAUGAUUAUUGGAUGCUAUGCCAUACAAAUCUAAUUGUUCAGAAACCUUAUGCAUCAUGAAGAAAUUAGUGGAUACAAUUAAUAUUGGUACAUUAUGAACUUCCCAUCAAGAAAUAUAUCUAUAAAAUGUUUCAUAUGAAUAUUUUUAAUGCACCUUGAGUUUUUGGAUAAACUUUUUUCAUAAAAGUUAAUUAGAUGCAUUCUUAAUUAAAUAAGCUAUUUGGGUAAUUUUUCAAAAAAUUUUAUUUAAAUAAUAGAAAGUUUAUUUAUUUAUUCUAGAAAGAGUUUCCAACUGGUCUUUAGAGGCCCUUUCGCUUCUGAAAAAGAUUUUAUGAAAAUCUUUUUCCUUUCAUCUUUUUUUUAAGUUUGGGAUAUUGACGCACAUGGGAAAGACCGAUACUACGCUUUUUUUCCCUACAAAUGGAAAAUGAGAUUUUUUUUUUGAGACUCAAAUGGAAAAUGAGAUUGAGUAGUGCUCUUUUUUCCAUAUCGUGCCAUCAGCGGGUAAGAGCAACUCCAACAAUUUUAUCUUACUAUUACUAAUUAGAGACUCCUUUUAAAGUUUCAUGGUGAAAUCACCUAGGAUCCUAGGUGGACACUCUAGAAAAAGAGAUAAAUCCUAAAAAUUCUCACAAAAAGCAAAACAUCUGGCCAUCAAUCAGUAAGCUCAAAUCAUCAUAGCCAUUGGAUCUAUUAUAUUUUCUAAAAGGUUACUCACCUCUGACAUUAUAGAAAAUAAACUAAAGUAACCCCCUAAUAUUUAUCAAAAUUACCCACUUCUGCCAUUAUAAAAAUAAUUUAAAAUAACCUCCUAAAUUUGCAACUAAAUUUCCCACCACUAAUACUUAAAAAAUAACUUAAAAUAACUCUUUAAAUUUGCAUCUAUAUUAUCCACAUAUGCUAUUAUUAAAAAUAACAUGAUGCAACCCUAAAUUUGAAUCCAAAUCACCUUAAUUAAAAAUAUACACCAAAAUAUGAUUCGAAAUCAUCUACAUCUUACACUAUUGGUAUAUGAUAUAAUAAUUAAGGUAUAUACGCAUGGGAAAAUGAUGAAAAAAUAGAUUUCUAUGUUAAAAUUAUAGCUCAAAUGUAGGGUCCAUUAAACAAAUUCAAGCGCAUACUUGCGAUGCAAAGUGAAAAGUUAACGAUUAUAAAAGUGGAUGGAAACAUUAUAGAGUAAUUAUUAACUAAAAUCUAUCAUAAUCAGAUGAAGAUAUAUCUAUAUAAGUAUUGUGUUCGAAUAUUUAACAAGUGAGAGGCAUCUCAAGGUAAUAAUUUUUGUAGUAGUGUGGUCUCAUUUUUUUCCAUAGGAGACUCCGUAUUAGCUCUCACAAGACACGGUAGAAAAAAAGAUAAAUCCUAAAAAUUCUCAUAAAAAUUAGAAACAUCAAACAUGAAUUAUGUAAACUCUAAUAAUCAUAGCCAUUGGUCUAUUAUAUUUUCUAAAAAGUUACUGACAACUAUCAUUAUGAAAAUAUUCUAAAAUAAACCCUAAACCUAUAUCUAAAUUAUCAAGCUCUACCAUAUAAAGAAUAAUCUAAAGUAACCCAUAAUCUUCAUCCAAAUUACUCAUGUAUAUCAUUAUAAAGUAUAACUUAAAGUGGCAUUCUAAAUUUGUAUCUAAGUUACCCACGUGUAUUGUUACAGAAAAUAAUCUAAAGUAAACACAUAAAUCGUAAUCUAAUUUCUUCAUGUGCAUCAUAUAGAGAUGUCCAAAAGUAAACUAAUACAUGGUUUUAAAUUACUUAUUUAUGUCAUUAUUAAUAUAUAAAUACUAAGUUAAGGUAUGUAUGCAUGAUGGGUGUCACCAUGUAGACCAUUUAUACAUGUUGUGAGGAAGUAAUGUGAGUUUUAUGCUAAAUGCAAUGUAUGGAGGUGCCAUACAAAAUGAGAAAAGUGUGAAUGUGGAUGAAAAAUUGUGUGGAGUUAUUACUAAUUAAAAAUCAAUUAUGACUCGAUAAAAAAUAAGUACACGUCUAUAUGGGUGUUAUGUUGGAGUGUUGAAAAAAAUGAGAGAGUAGUAGGUAGACAAUUUUGAUUAUUUAGCUAAGAGUUUAAUUUCUAAAUAAUUUCAAAUACGAUAGCUUUUAAAAAUAUUAGCCCAUGCGGGAGCACGGCUUAAUGGACUAGUAACACUUAAAUCAAAGCUCCUCAAUAGGAGUUAUUUUUUGAGGGUUAAAAAAAAACAUCUAACUAUAGCAAUAGCCUUCAAAUCAGAAUCUCCAAAGGUCAAAUAGGAAUUAUUUUUUUAGCCAAAAAAUACAUCCAACUCCAGCAAUAGGCCCCAUGGAAAGAGCCCAGUGACUAUAUGUCGCAUAUGUGAUUAUCGCCUACUUGCGACAUAUAGUCGCUGCUAGACGGGACCCACAGGACACCUCCGCCUCCGCUUUCUUCCUCCUACCGCUGCAGCGCCGCCACCAUGAUUCACCGUCAGACGGUUAGGGUUUGGGGUUUCGGGGCUUUGAGUUCUGGGUUGUCGGUAACAGGGAGUUGUGUAACAUCCCACUUUUUAGAGCAUUUAGAAGUACGGACUUUUCAAAAAAAAUUCUUAAAACUAAACAUAAUCUUUUUCUUUAUAUUCAAAAUCAUUUUAUAAACAAACCCUUCAUUAACCCACAUAUUUGUUGCACUUGGUUGCUCUUUUAGCACCUCCCUUCUAAAUCCCAGAGAUAGAAUUUCUGAAUCUUUCAUUCCUUCAAACCCUAGAAAUAAUAUUCAAAACCCUUUGAAUACUAGUUAUAUCCAAAGCCCUAUAAAAUUUCCAUCUCAUCUUAGACAAACAUUCCUAAAUCAAGGAUCCUACCAAAAGCCCCAUUUUUAUAUCCUAUCCAAGCCCACACCUUCUUUUGUAUUUAGAUUUGAAAACUAUUUCAAAUUUGAAUACAAAUCCCUUUAAACAUCCUUCAAAUAAAUAACCAAAGCCUCUAUUCCCUAACCAGGCCGUCAACUUCGUAUUCAGCCCACCAUCCAUAUCGGAACGGCUCACAACCCAACUCUCCCCCACUUGCAGCCUAUGUAUGCUCGGCCCGAAUCGCCUUCUCCCAGCCAAGCACCCAUCCCUCCUCCUAGUCCACCGACGCGCGGUCAGCACCGCUGCUGGCCGGCACCCCUUCCCCCGAUGCCUCCAUGCCGCGUCACAGUGCCGCGUUUACGUGCCACCGCGAUGGUUAACCAUGCCAGGAGCAUCUCCCCCGCCCAGUUUAGCUCCCAAGAAACCCUCUCCCUGACACCAUAUCAGCACCAACCCAUCUCGACGGCCACCUCACCCAACCACAAUUAAUGCUACCACCAAUCAUCCCCGGCCGGUCUAAUCCGACCGCUGUGCGCCUCCCUUCUCUCUUCCUUCGCAGCCUAAGCAACAUAUGCGCAUCGACGUGGCUGCCUUCCCUCAUCCGCUGCCCCCUGCCGCACCUAUCCAAGUGGACCGCGGUCUAACGCCAUCGGUCCCGCCGUCCCCUCGCCUACCUCCCCACCACAUGCUCCCAGCUCAUGAACACCGUAGACACACCCCGCACCCUGGUCCACAGCCCAAGUCCACUGGUCUACCGCACUGUGACUGUCGCCCCCGCCCGCUUGCACUAGCCGCCUCUAAAUUGUUAUACGCACCCAACUUUUGUACACCAGAAGCUACUUCAAGCCCUUAACCACCUCCAAAAAUUCACAAAAAAUCCCAUAAAAUCCUAGAAGCCUAUGCAUGCCUUUCUUUCCUAUAGUUUACCUCAUAUGAGUCCCUUUUCUAUCUUUUACUAUGACCUUAGAGCCCAACCAUAUUAGGAAUAUGCCACACCGCCUCCACCCGCUGUCGUGACCUAACCCCUAGGUGUUAGGCCGGGUCGAAGUUAAGUGCGCCAUGCGGCCUCUAGCCACCUUUCCUACAUCGUUAACAACACUGGUUGCCUAUUCCUCGCUGCCCUAUCGUCGUCGCUAACCCAUAUCGUUGCCGCACAUCUGCUUGACCUUGCCCAGCCCCACCUUUCGCCGUAUGACUAUCCCCUUGCAUUGAGUCAUGUUGAAGCGAUGACCAUUAGGCAAGCUCUCAAAUUCUACUUUUACGAAGCUUGCCGACCUCCACCCGCCGUAGGGUCGAGCCUGGGACAAAGCCAAGCUCACCGUGCAAGUUUCCUCACCCUAAACUCCAUUCCCACCACCUAGCAUCAAAAACACAUCUAAGGUCAAUCCUAGAACCUAGCCGAGAUGCUGCCCGACUAAAACCUCGUACCAUGACCUGAUCUAGCCGUUAUGCUGCCCACUCAAAAUCUCAUCCCUGAUAAAAUCCAGCCAUUAUGCUGCCUACCUAAAACCCCAAGUAACGCCCAAACCUAGCCGUAAUGCCGCCUGACCAAAAUCUCAAUUAUCAUCCAAACCUAGCCGUUGUGCUACUCGACCAAAACUCUAAACGACUCUAGGGAAUUAAUCAUUAAAUUCCCUAGAAUUUUCUGGAAAUCCAACCACCCAACCCAUUAAUUAUUUAAAGGGUUUCUAAAUAAUUAAUGGAUUAUCCUUCGAAUACCCAGGAAUUCACCCUUAAUUGUCAGGUAAUUCCCAGAAUAUUCAUCCUUUUCCUUUCUUUUCAUUCCUUAGGAAUUGAUUGGUGUAUGUUUUAUUGAUUAUUAUUUUAUGCGCUUUUACGAGCCGGUAGACUACUAGGCUUUGCUCAAAGCUAAGGAUCCAGAUGGCUCAAAGUCGAGAACCCUGGUCGCCCUAGAAGAUGUUAAGGAUAUCCGAUGAAGGCAAAUCCCAACCCUUAGCUUAUGUUUUAUCCUAUUGAGUGUGAGUAAUAAUAUGACCAACCUAAUAUGGACUACAUAGUUUUAGAAAUAUUUCUUUAUAAUACCUGCUUGCUAGAUUUCUCCCAUUUUUUCUAUUGAAAUGCCACAUUGUUGACGCUUAUUAUUGACAUACUUUUACCCCUGUUUAUCUUCAAUGAUGACAUGAAUUUAAUACCUAAACUAUUGAUCACACCUAAUAAACUGGUCAUUUUUAUAUGUGCAAUAUAUUUUGGAGGAUAUUCUGUUUUUGCAGAAAAUUGGACCUAAAGGUACAUUUUUGGAUAAAGCCUAAAACAAGCAACAAACCACAUGAAGAUGAAGGCCAGCGGGCCCAUGAAGGGCCUAGGCCGAUCGGCCUAUAGUAGCCUAGGCCGAUCGGCCUAGGGUCUCCAGGCCGCCUCUCGAGCUUCUUUUUGGCAAGCAAUCCGCCAAGAUGACUGAAGGCUAAGUUUAUGAAGAUAUGGCAAGAAUUAGUUUGGGAUCAAAGAGGAUCAAGCAGAGAUUUAGAAAGUUAUGAGGGAUCAAUCUCAUCCCAACCCACCCAGGCCUAUUGGCCUAGGGGUUUCCUUUGCCUUCUCACCUUCCAAUUUUUGCCACGUCCUCUCCAAACUAUAAAUACCCCAAAAAUCCACAUAUAAAAGACAAUGUACUCGACGUGAAGCAUCAGAGAAGUAGAAGGAGCUUGAGGGACACCUCUUCGGAGAGCCGAGGGCUGUACAGUUAUCUAGUGGUCCGCGUGAUCACUGUUGGUAUAAUUAACGAAUGCGAAUAAAUCCGCAAGCGCAUGGAUACCAUUGUAGCUUUCACCUCAGAGUAUUCCAAGGGUAUCAAAUCCAAGGGAACGUGUGUGUACUAACUGCUAUUCUAGUCGGUCCAAGGACACAUCAAGAUAGGUGGUGAGGGUAGAGAGGUAUCCUAAGGUAGUAAUAUAGGUGAGUUAAAGGUCGAUCUCUCGAGUCAGAAUACUCACUUCAGGCAUCGGCUUACCCUGAAUGAGUCAGGCACCUCCGGCCAACAGCUCCACCAUAUAUCCAAACAUGGAGGAUGACAAAGGACUAAUAGGGCUGUCACCACCUACGGCCUACCUCUGCGGCUCGUGGGAUAUACGGCCAAUGAAGGAUCGCCCUUAGCCUAGACACCACAUCUACACUAUUGAUUACUACUGCAGCCUAACUACGUUUGAAUCCCCAUAGCAGAAUACAAUACUCUAUAUAAAUAUAGAGCGAUGAAUCCGCAAGUAAGAGAACUGAUCUCACUCAAGUACAGAUACUACUAGUGUAUACUAUAUCAAGGUCUAAAGGUAUACAUGAUAGCAUACAAGCCUAUACUCUGAUAGCAAGGGCAUAUGACUAGCAUACAAGCAUAUAAGCUAAGCAUAUAAACAUAGCAAUGAUAUGAGACUACUCACGCAUAUAAGAACCAAAUAUAACACUAUAGGAAGGAAUCACGAACACUAACUUACUUUACUCAGGAGGUAGCCAGCAUCUGUAGAGGUACAAGCUAGGAGGAGAGUGCCAACACCCCGGCACUCCUCCCGAACUACCCCCUCACUUUCUCCCUAUUCAAAGCACAAGCUAGGCAAGGCUUUGCCUUUGGAGUGAAACACUAAUUCUCUAUUGAAGCCCCCCCUCUACUAUUUAUAGAGUGGAGGUGCCUUGGGAGAGUGGAGAUGCUCCAAGAAUCUCAAGGGAAUAUUCUUUCUCCAACCUCUCUCCUUGUGCCACCUAGCAGGAUCCGAGGCUUUGAGGUGGUAACUCCCGACGAAACAGUCAUAACCGCCUUUAGGAAGUCACCAGGAGCCGCCGUGUGGAAGCUGCGCACGAGGGGUGCCACCACUGGUUCGGCUGAACCCCAGGCACCGCCUCUCACGCCGCCCUUUGUCUGGGAGGUUGCCUGGUGGGCCCUCAAGUUGGUGCAAGGUGCACGCACCAAAUUAAGGUGGUUUACCCCCUAAUGUGAGCCCAUGGAUCCGUGUGCUUUUCUAUGAUUGUCUGGAGUUGUGUUUCUUUGCCGCUUGGGUGUGUUUCCUCCUCCUUUCUAAGGAUAAGUAACCUGUAUACAAAUAUUCACCAAUACUUGUGGAAAUGGUUAGUAAUAAACCCCUACCACUAGUUUGAUGCUCAUCUUUCCGAUAUUUAUGCAGUUGUUGACGGCCUAGAAUUGGCACUUAAGAGCCAUCAACAAUCACCCUGCAAGGAAGAUCCAUGCCAGAGUUUUGGCUAGGAGUCAUCAAGAUCAAUGUAGGAUCCCGGUAGUGAUCUUGUGAUGUACAAUCAUUUAUAGUGAAGUAAUAGAUGUGUUCAUAUUUUUAGCGAUCUAAGUAUCUCCUUCGAUGGUUUUAUGCUCUUUUGGGUUUACUUACUUUUCAAUCUAUGAAUCAAUUAUAGGUUGCUUAGGGUGUUCUUGUGGUCGUGGUGAUCGGAUUUGCAUGCCUGAUCUACCGAUGAACAUGUUCUUUUGAUCGUGCCCUUAACCUACUUGCGCUGAUAAAGGUGAUCAUGAUAGGAUCUUUUUUGUGUAAGGUGGGUAGGGAGUUUUGGGAUCCGAACUGGAGGUGUAGAUUUAAACAUACUUUUUACUAGGAUCAUAUCUAUGUUUCUUUGCUAUCCAUGCUCAGAAUUACAACAUAUGCAUAGUCUAGGUUGCUCUAGAUUGGUUACCUCUGCUCUAUCUGUUAUCUGUAUGUACAUGUGUGACGACCGGCCUCAAAUCUUCCAAGUUAAUCUUAAUCCGAGCCCCUGAUCACCAGUCUUAGCUUUCCAAGCCUAAGUGUUCAACCUCCCGACCGGUCCCGACCCCUCCCCGCUUGUCUCCAGUUCCGACCCCGCAAAACCCAGCUCACCGUCGGAUCCUUCUAAGUCCUUCCCAAAACGUCCGUUCUAUCUGACCGGUGGACCCACGAGAUCUUUUUCCCCUAGAUCUUCCGCGACAGGCGCACUCGAGUUGCAUGCCCGCUUCAGAGUUUCCCCGUCGCGUGGCUCAACUUCUCCGACGCCCGCCGCUCAGCCUCGUCUCUGGCCCGCGACCGAAUGGAUUCUCGCGCCCCCUUCCCCAAUUGCAGCGGAAGCCCGUUUGCAACCUUUCUGCAACACCUCGCCUCCCGCGCCCAUCAUCACGUCGCCAGAUCCCGAUCGCAGAGCCCGAUGUUGCCCAUCUUUUCCGUCACUUCAACACAGUCGCGCCGCCUCGUCUUCGCUACCCGAUGAUUCCUCCUCCGCCAACCCUGACCACGGCAGCGACAGCUCCUUUCCCCACCCUGUCAGAAGCCGCUCGACAAUCUGUUGCUCCGCGCUCGCCUGCGCGCCCGCGGCUGCCCGUCUUCUCACCUGUGCGCCCUCGUUUCUAGUGCCGUUAACCCGGUCACUUCCAUCAACUCUACCGCACGACGACACCCGCCUCCGCCAAAUCUCAACCACCGGCAUACCCGCUCCUGCGCCGCCCUGACGCCAGAGCCCAAUGACCGCUGGCGUCAUCCCCGAAGUUCUGCACCACCGCCCUCGUCGCUCAAUCGCCGCCUAGGCAGAGCACUCCACUGCUUCUUCCCCGGCCUUCGCGCCGCUCCUCUUCUCACUCCUGCGCCGCUUCCCUUCUCCCUUCCUAGCCGCUAUAAAAGGGAAUGCGCGAGCCCCGCCGGAGUUCCCUCUGCCAUCACUGCCUUCCGCCAUUUCUCUUGCUCCCUGCUCGAGCUCCCAGCGCCACACACUAAGUUACUGAGGAACUCUCCUCUCCGCUCCACUCCGUUUUCCCCAAACCAUCCAACCGCUUGCUCCUCCGUGCUGCGUAAGAGCUCACUUGUGAUCCACAAGAAGCACCGCCGCCGCCGGAGUACUGCCGAACCCAGCUGUUGUUCAAAGCCUUAGCCCUCCGCCCAAGCCUGUUUCUUCCCGACCCCAACCUUUCCUUGUAGGAAGAAGGUAAGCUGCCGACCCCUGGUCCGCCUCGUCCGACCUCUGUCCGCUUCACCCGACCCCUCUUAUCCGCCCGACCCCGGUUCCGUCUCACCCGACCCUGUCUGUUCCGCCGACCCUUCUCCGCCUCGCCCGAGGGCUCGGCUAUAACCUUUUUCUUCAAACCAAGGGUGUAUGUGUAAAACUUGGGAACCCUUCAGCAUUGAGUCUGAGGAUCCCUAGCACACCAAACCCUCUCGUUUAAGGGUCAGAUCAUAUGUUCCUUUCCUCCGACCCUUACCUCUUGAUCUCCACCAGCUCCCUUGAACCUUUCCACCCUCCUGCUUUUUUUGUCGCGAGUUUCUGGGCUCGGACUUGCAAGUGUUGCUGUUGAAAAAAAAAACCGUCUAUACUAACUAAUGCAUUGCAUUCGUGUAGAGCUGCGCCUCGCCGAUGGCUUCUACGAGCUGCACCAAGUGCCAGAAGAUGACGGUGUAGCUGAGCUCCUGCCCUCUGAAGCCGAAGCCGCCCCAGAAGUCGAGCAGUUCUCUUCCUCCUUGCUCGAAGGCAAGCCCCGGUUGCAUGAAAACCCUGUGUUGUUUUACCAGACUUGCGCAUGCCUUCUGUAACAUGCUUGUGCAUUUAUGUAUAGGAGUUGUUUGAAACCCUAGAUGCAUGACUUAGUUGUUCCCAUGAUCUGAACACUAGCUGUUGGACCGAGUAGCUGCUUGCUUAAAUAGGAAGCGGUAAAAGUCGGGUGAUUUUCUGUCACUCGCAAGUUGUAGGAGUUGGUUGUCUACUCUUCUGUUACAACUGUAAGAACGAUGGACGGGGCAGGGUUUUGGGUAACUCUUUGGUGGUCGGUUGAUCGUCCCGUCUAUCUAUGAAACCUGACUAAGGCCCGACAGUGGUGGUGUUCGUGAUCAAGUGUUUGAAAGUACUAACCUCAUACUUAGUAUGGGAUGAGGAAGCCUAGUACCGGAUUGAACCUAGACGUGAGCGGUCACCCCAUUGUUCUUGGAACGGAGUUUCCCCUGCUGGAUGUCGCACGUGGUGGCAUGCGUGGUCACAGAACGGCAGAGGCCAGGUCUGUGGAACCUUGCACCAAAGGAAAUGGGCCCGACACGGGUUAGGGGAUUAAUGGGGAAGGCCGACACAGGAAGCGACCUCCGGGUGCGCGGAUGUCGUGAGGUUAGGUUCACCAUGCAUAGUUAAAGAACUCGAAUCGAUUCGUCUGCCUCUCACAGUUUGAGACUGCUUGAUCGCUAUGUCACCCUGAGUAAAUGAGGAAUCUGAUGAUGACAUGGUUUUGUUGUUAUAUAUACAUACCUUGGUUGAUUCUAUGAUUGUUUAGCAUAGUUGCAAACUUAGACCGGAUAAUGAACUUAGAACCGGAGCUAAAACUUGAAAAUAGGGUUUUACUUAAUGCUUUUGGCAAACAAACCCCUCAGCCAAAAAGCCUUGCAUGUCUAGUUCUGUGGAGUAGCUUUACUCCCUGUCGGUUAAGCCUUGUUGAGCUUAGUAGCUCAGCCUUGUUGUGGCUCCUGUUUUUCAGGUGAAGUUGCUGCUCCCGACCCUUCUCCCGCUAGCACUUGGCCGCCCCAGCUCCCUCCGGGUUGGACGGUCUAGUGGGAUCCCUCCUCAGACGGCGAGGAGAGGGAUCAGUGAUGUCCCGGUUGGCCUCACUAGGGACGUCCGACCCCGACGUUUUGCUUCCGCUAGUGGUUUUACCUUCUGUUGACUUUCUGGAAACCUUGUAAAGCUCUGAUGUUUAUUUCAUAACCAAAUUAAAUGGUUAAGUUGUUAACUCGGUGGACUUGUUGUAGUCUCUGGAAUCGCUCACCUUCGUGUGGGUCUGCUAAAUUGGUCCUGUUCAAGUGGUUAAAUCGGAAGAAAUCCGACGGCACUUCGUGUUUACUCGGCUUAGGCAUGAGCGUCGCGUAUUAUGCGGCUAAAUCAUGUUUAACCAAAUAGAUCCGAAGUGGAUCCGCCACAACAUGCUUAGUAGAUUGGAUCUGAAUCACUCAUCAACACCAAGUUAAUACUAACAAUGCUAGUUGAAAUAGAUCUUGUGCUAUAAGUUCCACAGAUUGAUAAACCUUGGGCGAGUACUCUGAGGGUAGAGCUAAAACUGAUAUGUGCACUUGCGGUUUACAAAUUGGCGUGCUAACAGCUGUCAACACACAUGCCAAAUAAACCCUAGGCAACUACAUUUCCAUAAGCCACCCCAUACCAUAAAGGUGGAUAAAACAUUUGUUGGAUCCUCUAUGGAGAGGAUCUAACAAAAUAUCAUUUUAUAUACAAUAAAAUGCUUAGGAAGGGUUUUUCUCUUUUGGGAAGGCGUGAGUUAAAAGAUAAAGUGAUAAUAAUAGCAACCCCUAGGGUAUGUUUUGGACUUGAGAGUAAGGGGAUGGCCUUAGUGGUGGAUACUCUAUCCCAAAGCUUACUCUGGUCAUAUAAGAACCGGUUCAUUGGGCGAGUCUUUCUUGUGAACUGUACAACCAUACAUGCCAAAAAGGUACAACCUUCGGGAGUACCUAUCUAUGUGAGGUCUUGGUUCAAACCCCACUAGCUGAACCUAGUCAUCCAUCCCAAGGGGUCAAGGUGGGCAAUGGGUAUAUAGGAGCAGGACCUUCGCAUAGUCUUAGAUUCGGUCAACACAGGUCAACUGUUGAGAGGGCUGGAGGCCCUGAUAAUUUAUUCAUGCAUGCAUUUCCCGGGAUAGUAUCCGCAAGGUGGAUGUUAGUGGCCCCCUAUUUAGACCCUAAUAUAUCCAUGGAUGGACCUAGGGAAUGCUGUCCAGAGAUGGACACGGGCGGGUAUGGAUCUCGUAGGCCAGUACCGCCUGAGUACUAGGUGUGGGCUGGCCGGACAUAUGGGGAAAGUGUAUACCUCUAUGCAGAUUAUAAUCUAUUCGAAUAGUCGAGGCUCACGGUCACGAGCCCACUAAGUCAAAGCCCCCUAUGAUUACUCUUUGAAGCUCUUUGGGUGGGAUUAGUGUGUUAAACAUAAUGGAUGAAGUUGAAUGACCGGAUUCCAGAACUAAAACCUAGGGACUGAUAGGGGAGGUAGUUUUCCCCGUCCAGAACCACCACUCCAAAAUUAACAUGCUUUUAGAAGAGUCUUUUCAAUUCUCACCUUUUAAUUCACCUUUAGAUGUAGGAUUAUACCUAUAAAUCAUGUUCCUUAUCCACCUCCUAAAUUGCAUAUAAUUACUUAGUAAAUAUUGGGACUUGCUGAGUAUCAAUCAUAAGUAUACUCAACUUUACUUUCAUCAUGCAGGUGUAGAUCUUCAGGUGUUAUAAACCAUCUUGUUAGUAGAUGGGCACCACUUCGCUGCAUUAAGGUGAAAACAUUUUUUUAUUAAAUUAUACAUCUUUUAUUGCUUAAAAUACUAAGCUAUGAUGAUAAUGGUAUCAGCCUAUUGAUCCAGGAACUAAUACAGGUGAUCAGCGGGACUCCCGAAGGGAGGUCCCCACAGGCUAUCUCCGGUGUGGCUGGGAUAUAGAGGAGGUCGUUGGUGGCUAGGUAGCAAGCGGUGGUGUGCGGGUUGUGUGCGGGACGGCGGGACGCCACCGGCCGCAAUCCGUAGUAGACAACAGGUGGCCUCUGGAGGCGGCGGGGGAGCCACGGCAAGCUCCCCGGCAGGUCCGGGGUAGCGCGGCGAAGGAUGGUGGCGGCGGAUUUGACGGCACGAGCCGCCGGAGAUCGUGGAGGAUGGCAGCGCGGGAGGGGGUGCGACGGUGAUUGAGGGCUGCGACCUGCGGUGGUGGGAACCACCGGAACUGGAGGAGGAAAGAGUCGCGGGAGCAUAGGUUGCGCGCACUCCUAGACCACCAUCACCGAAGGCGACAUCAGUGAUUUUGUCGCCUUCAGUGAUAAAUAGACGCGCCCUAGAUAGACCUCCGAGAAUGGAGGGUAUUUCGAGGGCUUCUCAAAAUAGGAAACCUAGUAUAUUUUUAAUUUGGUACUCGUCAACAACUAUUACUCUAUUAGCAUCUUUUAAGAUAACACUGAAAUAUGGUAGUCUCCUACUUUAUGUGCAGUGUCGUUGCGUCAAAUACGUGUGAGGUCGCGGACCUGAGCCUCAGCCGCUCAGGCCCACGGGCACAAAAAGACUCGAAUUGCCGUGUUUGACGGAGCACUGUGGGACUUCUGCUGUGCUGUCCGGUCUCUGGUGACCGUUAGAUUAGCGAACUGACCCCGAACCCGUUGAUUAGCGAUGCAGUCAAGAGCAAAAAUCGAUUCCUCUAACUGCCAUCAAACCAUAUUAUUCACUGGUGGUUUGAAUCCAAAGUCUUCCAGAGCACCAGCCAAGGUCGGCACGUACUACUAAUCAAAGGCAAUUCGACAGCUUCGCAGCAAGCACCUCCUGCACGGUCUGCUGCCAAAGUGUGCACACCAAAUAAAAGUCUUCUUUUAGACCAGUAGUACCAAAUAAAAGUCCAAAUCCCACGCAGCAAACCGAACGGGGCUCGUGCCAGUCUAACAAAAACUGAGGACUCCCGCUCCCUCCGCAUUUGAUUGCACAAGCAGAUCGUCCUCUUCCUGCGUCCACCUCGCGCCGUGGCGGCCGUGCUGUGCAGGCGUGCACAACCAACGCCACGCCGCGAAAACAAACCGGCCGAGACAUGGACACACCACGCCGCGCGUCCGUGUACCCGCGUAUCCUCGGUCUCGUGCUCGUG